CAGUCGCCGCGGUAAUACGAGGGGGGCAAGCGUUGUUCGGAAUUAUUGGGCGUAAAGGGUGCGUAGGCGGCCCCGCAAGUCUCAUGUGAAAUCUUCAAGCUCAACUUGAAGUCUGCAUGGGAAACUGCGGGGCUGGAGUAUGGGAGAGGUGAGUGGAAUUCCUGGUGUAGCGGUGAAAUGCGUAGAUAUCAGGAGGAACACCUGUGGCGAAAGCGGCUCACUGGACCAUAACUGACGCUGAGGCACGAAAGCUAGGGGAGCAAACAGGAUUAGAUACCCCCGUAGUCCCUGUCUCUUAUAA
This 301-nucleotide ribosomal RNA is filed under the name uncultured bacterium. RNAcentral describes it as "partial 16S ribosomal RNA". It matches the Rfam family "Bacterial small subunit ribosomal RNA", at positions 509 to 809 of the family's 1533-position model. The record is from RNAcentral.